RNAcentral lists this ribosomal RNA (690 nucleotides) under Escherichia coli. Its description in RNAcentral is "partial 23S ribosomal RNA". It matches the Rfam family "Bacterial large subunit ribosomal RNA", at positions 2259 to 2925 of the family's 2925-position model. Lineage: Bacteria; Pseudomonadati; Pseudomonadota; Gammaproteobacteria; Enterobacterales; Enterobacteriaceae. The record is from RNAcentral.
UGGUGGGUAGUUUGACUGGGGCGGUCUCCUCCUAAAGAGUAACGGAGGAGCACGAAGGUUGGCUAAUCCUGGUCGGACAUCAGGAGGUUAGUGCAAUGGCAUAAGCCAGCUUGACUGCGAGCGUGACGGCGCGAGCAGGUGCGAAAGCAGGUCAUAGUGAUCCGGUGGUUCUGAAUGGAAGGGCCAUCGCUCAACGGAUAAAAGGUACUCCGGGGAUAACAGGCUGAUACCGCCCAAGAGUUCAUAUCGACGGCGGUGUUUGGCACCUCGAUGUCGGCUCAUCACAUCCUGGGGCUGAAGUAGGUCCCAAGGGUAUGGCUGUUCGCCAUUUAAAGUGGUACGCGAGCUGGGUUUAGAACGUCGUGAGACAGUUCGGUCCCUAUCUGCCGUGGGCGCUGGAGAACUGAGGGGGGCUGCUCCUAGUACGAGAGGACCGGAGUGGACGCAUCACUGGUGUUCGGGUUGUCAUGCCAAUGGCACUGCCCGGUAGCUAAAUGCGGAAGAGAUAAGUGCUGAAAGCAUCUAAGCACGAAACUUGCCCCGAGAUGAGUUCUCCCUGACUCCCUGAGAGUCCUGAAGGAACGUUGAAGACGACGACGUUGAUAGGCCGGGUGUGUAAGCGCAGCGAUGCGUUGAGCUAACCGGUACUAAUGAACCGUGAGGCUUAACCUUACAACGCCGAAGGUGUUU